This 48-nucleotide ribosomal RNA is filed under the name Stewartia ovata. RNAcentral describes it as "partial 5.8S ribosomal RNA". Lineage: Eukaryota; Viridiplantae; Streptophyta; Magnoliopsida; Ericales; Theaceae. The record is from RNAcentral.
AAACGACUCUCGGCAACGGAUAUCUCGGCUCUCGCAUCGAUGAAGAAC